CCUACGGGAGGCAGCAGUGAGGAAUAUUGGUCAAUGGGCGUAAGCCUGAACCAGCCAAGUCGCGUGAGGGAUGAAGGUUCUAUGGAUCGUAAACCUCUUUUAUAAGGGAAUAAAGUGCGGGACGUGUCCCGUUUUGUAUGUACCUUAUGAAUAAGGAUCGGCUAACUCCGUGCCAGCAGCCGCGGUAAUACGGAGGAUCCGAGCGUUAUCCGGAUUUAUUGGGUUUAAAGGGUGCGUAGGCGGCCUUUUAAGUCAGCGGUGAAAGUCUGUGGCUCAACCAUAGAAUUGCCGUUGAAACUGGGAGGCUUGAGUAUGUUUGAGGCAGGUGGAAUGCGUGGUGUAGCGGUGAAAUGCUUAGAUAUCACGCAGAACCCCGAUUGCGAAGGCAGCCUACCAAGCCAUGACUGACGCUGAUGCACGAAAGCGUGGGGAUCAAACAGGAUUAGAUACCCUUGUAGUC
Molecule: ribosomal RNA, 460 nt
Filed under: uncultured bacterium
Lineage: Bacteria
Description: partial 16S ribosomal RNA
Rfam family: Bacterial small subunit ribosomal RNA
Source: RNAcentral